UACGAAGGGGGCUAGCGUUGUUCGGAAUCACUGGGCGUAAAGCGCACGUAGGCGGAUCUUUAAGUCAGAGGUGAAAUCCCAAGGCUCAACCUUGGAACUGCCUUUGAUACUGGGGAUCUUGAGUCCGGGAGAGGUGAGUGGAACUGCGAGUGUAGAGGUGAAAUUCGUAGAUAUUCGCAAGAACACCAGUGGCGAAGGCGGCUCACUGGCCCGGUACUGACGCUGAGGCACGAAAGCGUGGGGAGCAAACAGG
RNAcentral lists this ribosomal RNA (253 nucleotides) under uncultured bacterium. RNAcentral describes it as "partial 16S ribosomal RNA". It matches the Rfam family "Bacterial small subunit ribosomal RNA", at positions 524 to 776 of the family's 1533-position model. The record is from RNAcentral.